AUUUAGCUAACGAGUCCCAAAUAAGAUGAAAUGCGUGUCCUGAAU
Non-coding RNA from Schistosoma mansoni, 45 nucleotides. The record is from Rfam. NCBI's taxonomy places the organism in Eukaryota, Metazoa, Platyhelminthes, Trematoda, Strigeidida, Schistosomatidae.